Sesamum indicum (sesame) is the source of this 1433-nucleotide non-coding RNA. Lineage: Eukaryota; Viridiplantae; Streptophyta; Magnoliopsida; Lamiales; Pedaliaceae. The record is from RefSeq and is a predicted model, not a curated record.
CUGCCACUAAACCGUCCGCCACUAUUGUCGCUAACAUAAUGCGAACCUUUCCAGUUUAGGGUCAGUUUGAAAGUGCGAGAACUGAGAUGCUCGAAUUUUCAGGAUUAGUUGAUGACAUUGUUCAUUGCACUGCACUUGAGCUUGUUCCUGCUGCUAUUGAUGCUGCCCUGCAGACCAAUGCUCACCAUUCUAUCUCCUCUGAAAUUCAAAAUGCCCUUCUGAAGGCUGGUGUACUGUGGUACCUUAUACCAUUGUUGCUCCAAUAUGAUUCGACGGCGGAGGAAUCAGAUAAGACAGAUGCACAUGGUGUUGGAACUAGCGUUCAAAUAGCAAAAAACAUACAUGCUGUAAAAGCAUCUCAUGCCUUGUCAAGGCUUUAGUGGUUUGGUUGACGAGGAGAUCCCGACACCCUACAAUCAGGCUGCAGCUGAUGCCUUAGAGCUUUACUAACCCCUAAACUUGCAAGCAUGCUGAAAAAUAAAUUUGCAAAAUGACCUCCUAUUCACAUUAAACUCAAACUUGGAGUCCCCUGAGAUAAUCUGGAAUUCCUCCACCUGAGUAGAACUUUUGAAAUUUGUGGAAGAGCAGCGUGCAAGCCUUAGUCAUCAUGGUUCGUAUGACCUUAAAGAUUCGCAUUCCUUUGUUUAUGAAGCAUUAUCUAAGGAGCUCUAUAUUGGCAACGUAUACUUGAGAGUCUAUAAUGAUCAACCAGAUUUUGAAAUUACUAAGCCUGAGGACUUCUGUCUUGCCCUUGUUGAUUUUAUAUCACAUCUAGUCCAUAAUGCACCCGCUGCAAGCAUGGAUACUCAUUUAAUAGUGAUGUAACCACUGAUGGAUCUGGGGAGCAGCAUCUGAUGAUUCUUCAGCAUCACUUGAUGGGAAAAGCUUGGAGAGGGAGGAUUUGGAACUAGUUAAAAAUCUUCAAUACGGUCUGCUAUCCCUUCAGCACUUGUUGACAAAGAAUUUGAAUUUAGCUUCAGUGGUCUCCACAAAGGAGUAGCUAUUCCCCUCUUUGAAUGCUUUUCUCUUCCUGUUUCUUCAUCAAGCAACAUUCCUCAGCUAUGUCUACUUGUUUUGUCACGGUUGACAACAUACGCACCUUGUGUGGACGCAAUGGUCGCAGAUAGCUCUGGUCUGCUUGUUUUAUUACAGUUGCUUUACUCAUCUCCCAGCUGCCGUGAAGGAGCUUUGCAUGUUCUCUAUGCCUUAGCAAGCACGCUGGAGCUAGCUUGGGCAGCUGCAAAGCAUGGAGGGGUGGUUUUCAUUCUUGAAGUUCUCUUGCCAAUACAAGAAGAGAUUCCGUUGCAGCAAAGAGUCGCAGCAGCUUCGCUAUUAGGGAAGCUUGUUGGCCAGACUAUGCAUGGGCCUAGAGUGGCGAUAAGUCUGGCAAGAUUUCUGCCUGAUUUCCUUGUCUCGGUAAUCAGGGAUGGUCC